UGGGGAAUAUUGCACAAUGGGCGCAAGCCUGAUGCAGCCAUGCCGCGUGUAUGAAGAAGGCCUUCGGGUUGUAAAGUACUUUCAGCGGGGAGGAAGGGAGUAAAGUUAAUACCUUUGCUCAUUGACGUUACCCGCAGAAGAAGCACCGGCUAACUCCGUGCCAGCAGCCGCGGUAAUACGGAGGGUGCAAGCGUUAAUCGGAAUUACUGGGCGUAAAGCGCACGCAGGCGGUUUGUUAAGUCAGAUGUGAAAUCCCCGGGCUCAACCUGGGAACUGCAUCUGAUACUGGCAAGCUUGAGUCUCGUAGAGGGGGGUGGAAUUCCAGGUGUAGCGGUGAAAUGCGUAGAGAUCUGGAGGAAUACCGGUGGCGAAGGCGGCCCCCUGGACGAAGACUGACGCUCAGGUGCGAAAGCGUGGGGAGCAAACAGG
Molecule: ribosomal RNA, 429 nt
Filed under: Chloroflexota bacterium
Lineage: Bacteria; Bacillati; Chloroflexota
Description: Chloroflexi bacterium partial 16S ribosomal RNA
Rfam family: Bacterial small subunit ribosomal RNA
Source: RNAcentral